Small RNA from Nocardia nova SH22a, 296 nucleotides. It matches the Rfam family "5' ureB small RNA". The record is from Rfam. Lineage: Bacteria; Bacillati; Actinomycetota; Actinomycetes; Mycobacteriales; Nocardiaceae.
CCUCGUCGAGCAGUUGCGGGCAGAUGAAGUGCACGUGGCAGUCGAUCGCGCCCGCGGUGAGGAUGCGGCCGUUACCGGAGAUGAUCUCGGUCGACGGGCCGACCACCAGAUCCGGGUGCACGCCGUCCAUGGUCUCGGGGUUUCCGGCCUUGCCGAUCGCGCAGAUCCGGCCGUCGCGAAUGCCGAUGUCGGCCUUGAUGAUUCCCCAGUGAUCGAUGAUCACCGCACCGGUGAUCACGGUGUCGGGAGUGCCCUCGGCGCGGGUGGCCCGGGCCUGGCCCAUCGAUUCGCGCAGG